This 581-nucleotide long non-coding RNA is filed under the name Populus tremula. RNAcentral describes it as "long non-coding RNA (PTRE_LNC001801)". Lineage: Eukaryota; Viridiplantae; Streptophyta; Magnoliopsida; Malpighiales; Salicaceae. The record is from RNAcentral.
CACACGAAGGAGCGGUGCGGGAACUUUCAGAUGCCACUGCACUACCCAAGAUACACCCUAGCCGAAUAUCAGACCAUGCCGGAGUGGAAACUUGAUUGCCUGCUUAAAGAGUAUGGGCUGCCAAUCACCGGAGAUGUUGAGCAGAAGAGGAACUUCGCCAUGGGAGCUUUUCUUUGGUUCCAUUAGACCUCUGGUUUAUGUUGUUUUUUAUCAUAUAAUUAUGACGCGAGGAGAUCAGGUACUGUUGUUAUGUUAGGUCAUGUACAUAUAUACCUGUUGAUCUGUUUUUGUGUGUAUGCUUGGAUUGUGCUGUAAAAUAGAAGGGAAUUAGUGCACAGGCACGAUUCUGGAAGGAGAAGUUUAAUUAAUCAAGUCUGGGAAAUGAGUGUAGAGAUUUGGUGAUGUGUGUAGGAGGUCAGUGGACUAAUCUGCUGUUUAGUGAUUAGUUAAUAUAAUGAUGUGGGUGUUAUCAUGUAGGCUCUCGCUUUUGUCGUCUGAUCAAUAAUCAUUGUGAUCUCCGCUUGGUGCAAACGACGAUGGAAAUUAUGGUCUUCCAUUUCCUUUUUUUUUCUUUAUUCCUU